This 514-nucleotide ribosomal RNA is filed under the name uncultured bacterium. Its description in RNAcentral is "bacterial SSU rRNA". It matches the Rfam family "Bacterial small subunit ribosomal RNA", at positions 32 to 524 of the family's 1533-position model. The record is from RNAcentral.
AAUCAACGCUGGCGGCGUGCCUCAGACAUGCAAGUCGAACGAUUAAGACUUCCUUCGGGAAGUGCAUAAAGUGGCGCACGGGUGAGUAACACGUAAGUAAUCUACCUUCGAGUGGGGAAUAACGUUCGGAAACGAACGCUAAUACCGCAUAAUGCAGCGGCAUCGCAAGAUGACAGUUGUUAAAGGAAUUUAUUUCGCUUGAAGAGGAGCUUGCGGCAGAUUAGCUAGUUGGUAAGGUAACGGCUUACCAAGGCUACGGUCUGUAUCCGGUCUAAGAGGACGGUCGGACACACUGACACUGAAUAACGGGUCAGACUCCUACGGGAGGCAGCAGUCGGGAAUUUUGGGCAAUGGGCGAAAGCCUGACCCAGCAACGCCGCGUGAAGGAUGAAGUAUUUCGGUAUGUAAAGCACUUUAGUUGGGGAGGAAGAAUCCAGAGAUGAAUAAGCUAUGGAAAUGACGUUACCCAAAGAAUAAGACACCGGCUAACUCUAGUGCCAGCAGCCGCGGUAAU